AUACGGAAGGUCCGGGCGUUAUCCGGAUUUAUUGGGUUUAAAGGGAGCGCAGGCGGAGAUGCAAGCGUGACGUCAAAUUUCGGGGCUCAACCCCGUCUCGCGUCGCGAACUGCGUCCCUUGGUUGCGGGAAGGGGAGGCGGAACUCGUGGUGUAGCGGUGAAAUGCAUAGAUAUCACGAAGAACUCCGAUCGCGAAGGCAGCCUUCCGGCCCGUCAACGACGCUCAUGCUCGAAGGUGCGGGUAUCAAACAGGAUUAGAUACCCUGGUAGUCCGCACAGUAAACGAUGGACACCCGCGGUUUGGCCUGUAUGGCUGAGCCGCCAAGCGAAAGCGUUAAGUGUCCCACCUGGGGAGUACGCCGGCAACUGUGAAACUCAAAUGAAUUGGCGGGG
This 393-nucleotide ribosomal RNA is filed under the name uncultured bacterium. RNAcentral's name for it is "partial 16S ribosomal RNA". It matches the Rfam family "Bacterial small subunit ribosomal RNA", at positions 523 to 918 of the family's 1533-position model. The record is from RNAcentral.